AUUGAACGCUGGCGGCAGGCCUAACACAUGCAAGUCGAGCGAGCGGCGGACGGGUGAGUAAUGUCUGGGAAUCUGCCCGAUGGAGGGGGAUAACUACUGGAAACGGUAGCUAAUACCGCAUACUAUCGGAUGUACCCAGAUGGGAUUAGCUAGUAGGUGGGGUAAAGGCUCACCUAGGCGACGAUCCCUAGCUGGUCUGAGAGGAUGAGCAGCAACACUGGGACUGAGACACGGCCCAGACUCCUACGUGAGGCAGCAGUGGGGAAUAUUGCACAAUGGGCGCAAGCCUGAUGCAGCCAUGCCGCAUGUAUGAAGAAGGCCUUAGGGUUGUAAAGUACUUUCAGCGGGGAGGCGUUACCCGCAGAAGAAGCACCGGCUAACUCCGUGCCAGCAGCCGCGGUAAUUC
Molecule: ribosomal RNA, 406 nt
Filed under: uncultured bacterium
Lineage: Bacteria
Description: partial 16S ribosomal RNA
Rfam family: Bacterial small subunit ribosomal RNA
Source: RNAcentral